UACGUAGGUGGCAAGCGUUUUCCGGAGUUACUGGGCGUAAAGGGCGUGUAGGCGGCCUUUUAAGUCAGGCGUGAAAGAACAGGGCUUAACCCUGGGACUGCGUUUGAGACUGGAAGGCUUGAGGAUCGGAGAGGGCAGUGGAAUUCCCAGUGUAGCGGUGAAAUGCGUAGAUAUUGGGAGGAACACCAGUGGCGAAGGCGGCUGCCUGGACGACACCUGACGCUGAGGCGCGAAAGCUAGGGGAGCGAACGGG
Molecule: ribosomal RNA, 253 nt
Filed under: uncultured bacterium
Lineage: Bacteria
Description: partial 16S ribosomal RNA
Rfam family: Bacterial small subunit ribosomal RNA
Source: RNAcentral